This 212-nucleotide unclassified non-coding RNA is filed under the name plant metagenome. RNAcentral describes it as "partial contains small subunit ribosomal RNA, internal transcribed spacer 1, and 5.8S ribosomal RNA". The record is from RNAcentral.
UCUCCGUUGGUGAGCCAGCGGAGGGAUCAUUACAGGAUCGAAAGACUCCUAUAACCCCUGUGAACUUACUACAAAUACGUUGCUUCGGCGGGUGAACCGGGUCUCCCGGGGCGUUCAGCCCGCCGGCAGCCUUCAAAUUCUGUUUCUUUGCGUUGGCAUCUCGAGUAUACAAAAAUAAGUUAAAACUUUCAACAACGGAUCUCUUGGUUCUG